UCAAAAUAGCGGACUUCGGUCCUUGCUAUACCCUUGUCUUUUGCGUACCGUAUGUUUCCUCGGCGGGCUUGCCUGCCGGUUGGACAUUAUCAAACCUUUUUGUAGUUGCAAUCAGCGUCAGACAAUAAAUAAUAAUUA
This 138-nucleotide unclassified non-coding RNA is filed under the name uncultured Leptosphaeria. RNAcentral's name for it is "sequence contains ITS1". The record is from RNAcentral. Lineage: Eukaryota; Fungi; Ascomycota; Dothideomycetes; Pleosporales; Leptosphaeriaceae.